Apis mellifera (honey bee) is the source of this 8703-nucleotide long non-coding RNA. RefSeq lists it as uncharacterized. Lineage: Eukaryota; Metazoa; Arthropoda; Insecta; Hymenoptera; Apidae. The record is from RefSeq and is a predicted model, not a curated record. The transcript has 6 exons.
AUAUCUUAUCGGUAGUCGUGUCUCGGUACGUUGUUGUGCGUACGUCGUUGAUAACGUAUCGUUUCCACGGUGCUGAUACGCAUUUCGUAUUCACGUCGUUUCACAAAGAGAUCCCGUUUCCCCCGUUGGUCAUCGGGGGAAGGGAAAAGCUUGGUUUUUUUCGCACCUGCGUUUCUUUGUCUGCGAUCCGAGACACAAUGGAGAAAAAUGGGGCAUUAAGCAUCAAGAUAAACAUCAAAAGAUAAAUCUGUAAAAUGCACGAAGAAUCUAUGCAACAAAAAAAAAAAGAAAGUCAAAAAAGAAAUCAUCAAGAGGUAUCAAGAAUAUUUGAUUAUUAUUACCAGUUAAGAAAAAGAAAUCGAGAGGAAAAAACGGCGAGGCACAACAGGAAAGGAGAAAGAAUCGAGAUCGUGGAAUAUUUCGGCGGAAGGCGACGAGAGAUCGGUCGCUUUUUCUUUGCGGCCGGUUGUGGGCCGAUCUGGUGCGCCACGUCAGUCGUUGGAAUUAAUUUUGAUAUAAAUACCCCGUUACAUCAUGAGCUUACUCCAAUUAUGGGAAAGUAGAAUUUUUCUUUUUUUUAAAAAUCUUUUUUCCACGCGCGAAAGUCGUGGACCGAUUCGGGUGACAUAUCAAUCGUUGCAAUUAAUUUUGCAAUAGGUACAUGUGUUAACGACGUUAUAACCCGAACGAUGUUGAAGUGACAGUGCCUCUUAUUCACCACAUGCUGUACAGAAGGAUAUGUCCCAGUUUUGAAUGAAGUUUGUCCAUAUAUACCAGGUGAGCAAAAGACAUGGAACAUAAAGUUUAGUUUCAAACGAGAUAUAUAUUUCUCCAUAGAAACUUUUAUAACACGAGUAUUUAAUAUUUAAGUUGAAUACCGUGUUUAGGAAUGCGAAGUGUCGUUCAAUGGAGGAUAAAAUUAAAUAUUAAGAUUGCAAUUUUUAAAUAUCUAUCAAUCUUUUCCAAUAAUCUGUCUUAAUCGUGCGAAUAUAUUCCAGAAUAAAAGAAAAUAUUUUUUAAAACACAGCUCCAAUUUUCACUGAUUCUUUCACGAAGUCUAUAUACAUUUAUAUGUAAAAAGAAAAAAAAAUCGAAUACCAAUAAAAAUAUUAAUAUUAUCCUGAGUAACUACGAUAAAACAGCAAGUGGACAACGUUCGUCGGAAUUGCGGCCAGUUUUCCAGUUACAGAACUGGUCCAAACCCCUUCUCCCUCGUACGACGACAAUUACCGGAAGAGUUUAUCGCGGGGAACGGCGAACGAAAGCAAGAUUCUCCCCCUCGGGCGCGGCUGCUCUUCAAAGGGACACAGGGAGAGGAGGGGGAGAGGGUUGGGAAAAAAAACGAGGGAUAAGAAACAGACGUUUCCUUUGUUUACCAAGGAACGCUUUGUUCGUGGCCCCGGGCUGGGAGGCGAAGGGGGAUGGGAGGAGGGUAUGUUUAAUUUUUCGCACGCAAACCCGGGUUGUGACGCGAGACGCCACUCGUGCCAUGCUUGAAAUUCCCGUCACAAUGGUGUUUGCUCCAGGUUGCUUCGCGGUCGAACAUUCGCGUCGUUCCUGCACUGCAUUUACCCGAUGUCAGAAAGCAUGCAAGGGUUAAUUAGCAUGGUAGAGCAAUUGCAUUUCGUACCGAACAAGGGUGAGAGGAUUUGUUUGAACUUUUGAUUUCGUUCAAGGCCCCUUCAACCCGUGCUCUCGCGAAUGGAAAAGAAUUUUUCUCCUUCUAGAGUGGCAGAAUUUGAUCAAACGAGUUUUACUCGAGAGAAAUAAUAACGAUUAGAGAAUUAUUGACCGGAGAAGAGGAGGAAAAAUUAAAAACUAUCAACCCCCUUCUCUCACCCCCCAAAAACAUUAACAUAUUAUUUCGCUUCGAGAGGAAGCCCAAGUCAGGAAGGGAAAUCACUAUCGUGGGUCCAAUUGCUUUCGAUCUCGCGACGAAUCGAAGGGUGGAACAUCGUCCAGGCAUUUCGGGAAUUUUGCCAAUUAAAAUCGACGGACGGGAGGGAAAAAGGUCGGGUAUUGGCCGAUCGGCCCCGAGGCCCUCUCCAUGUAAACGGUACUCAUAGGAAUGUCCUUGGGCGCGACAGUUUCGCUAAUUGAAAUCGAUUACGGGGGGCCCGGGGGCAUCGUUUUUCCAUCGCUUUUCACCGCCCGCGCCCCCCAAGGAGGAGGAGGAGGAGGAGGAGGAGGGAGAGUGCACAAUUACCCGGGGCCACUCGCUUCGCUGCUUCCCGGAUAUUCCCAUUUUCCGCGGAGAGUGCUCCUCGCGCGAGUUUACGUCCGAUCCACGAAUCGACUCCUGUUUUCCUCCUUCCUUGGAGGCGAAGGGGGACAUCUGCCACGGCCACCUCUCGUCACCGCCUCCUCUCCCCUCGAUACGAUUCGCGUCGUUCGAUUAAGGAGAGGAGAGACGGGAAGAAUAUGUCUGGUGUGGUAAUGGUGAAGGAUGAAUAUUAUUAGUAGCGUGGUUAUUAGUAGUUGGGGAGAGAUCGUUGAUUUUUUGAAAAAGAAGAAGAGGAAGAAGAAGAAUUGGUGUUCGAGAUGAAUAUUAUUAGUUGAGAAAGUGGAGGAGAGAGAAGGGAACAGAUAAUUGAAAUUAUUUAAGUAGAGAUAUAAAUGAUGUUCGAAUUUCGACGACGCUUUUUGUUGAAAGAAAAUUGUCAAUUUGUUUUUAAAUCAUUCUUUUUCGUAAUAGAAAUAGAUAGAUGAUAAAUGAUGAAUGAAGAUGAUGAAUCAAGUUUUAAUAAAGAAAAGAAAAAAAGAAUGAUCGUAUACUCUUUAAGAGUUUUGUCAAAGUAUAUCAAUCUGGAACGAGUAAUAUCGAUCACAAUUACUCAUAGAGAACGAAGAUGAUUCGACCGAUAUAAUACACGAAGACCAUUUCGUGGCGAGUAGACCAUAGUCAUUCGAAAGGGUUAAUAAGUCUAAACUGUUCAUUAAAGGUUUCCUUUACGAGAAGUGGUUUCCUAAUUGGGUGGCGUUAGAACCAAGAUCAAUUAGAAACGGUCUUUAACGAGAAUUUAAGUGGCCAAUUCUCCCCUUUCGCCUUUCUACAAUAUUCAACGCCGUGCCGGCAAAUAGUGCAAUUUAGUUCGCCAAUCGUCACACUCCGUAAAAUAAUAAAAAUCCAAUCUUUCUCUCUCCUCCGAAAAAUACCACGGUUUAAAAACAUGCUUGCCUACGCACGAGAAUUUCCUUCUUCAGAAAUUUUUCAAAAUUCUCAGGCAGAGAGAAAGUACAUUUCGAUAUAUAUAUUCAAAAUUCAUAUCUAUCGUUAUCAUUAUUUUGAACGUGUUCGUAGUGUGAUCUCUCAAGUAUCGAUUCUUAUUGUUAGUGACAAAGAAUCACGGCACACACAAGCACAUACAAUUCUAUCUAAAAGAAUUGAAUGAUUACUUGAGCAUCGAAUUAAAAAUACCAAUGCUUCCAAUUCUAUCCUUCUUUCUCACAAUUUCUCUCAUGAUAAAUGUAUUAUCAUAACAUUACUAACGAUAUCAUUCACGAUAUAUAUCUUUCGAUAUACUCUCCAAGACGAGACAACGAUACCCUUAUCUCAAGAUUGUCCAAAUUUUACAAUAAAAAAAUACCCCUUCCUUAAUGAAAGAUCAAUCGAACUUUCUCUAUGAAAAGAGAAAAAAAGAAGCUCUUUCCAAAUAAAUAGAUUGACCAUCGAAUCACCAUCGAAAAUAAUGAGAAAAUGUCACCGUUAAUGGAAGCGGAAGUAGAGAGGGAACGUUGCAAAUAUCGAGGAGGAGGGGGAGGGGUUAACCGAGGCAAUUACGCGGAACAGCGCUUUAUCCCGCUAACCUUAUCCAGGACGCGGGUGCUUUUCGAGCCGUGGUUGACUCGACGGAGCAACUGGUGUCCAAUGACGGGGCGCAAAGGCGAGGACCUCUUGAAUGUACUUACAUUUUGAACCUUACAUAUGCUCACCUUCUCGAGCGACCCAUCGUCGCGGUAAGCUCUCUCCGCUUCCUGUACACCGAUAGCUCGUGUGCCUGACAAAUAGACGCUGGCCCGCCGAUGUGUGUGGGUGUCCUCCUCCGCUCGGCUAUGUACGCGUUCACACACCGAUGGGACCGAGAGAUGGAAGAGAGAAAAAGAGAGAGAGAGGGAGAGAGGGAGAGAGAGAGAGGGAAGGUUGGUUAAUCCGCACAUGUGUGAUGACAAUCGUGAACCACCUGUUGAACGGCACCGAUACCCAAGGCUCUCUACCUGGCUACAAAAGGAAGCCCCGAAUUUCGAUCGGACACGAUCAAGUACUUCACUUUGUCCGACCACCCCCCGAUAACUCGCCCCGCUAUCAAUUAAUCCCUUGUUUGCCCUGUUUCGAACUUGAGCUUCGUUUCCCUUCGAUCGAUGAAAUUUCUUUUCCUACUUUUCCCUCGUUCCGCUUGUUGAACGAUUUAUAUUUGUUUUGAUUGAUUCUCUUUGAAAAGAGAAUUGUUUCUUUUUGAGAAAAUUUUUGCAAUAGUUUUAAAAGUCAUUAUAUUUAUGCAAGUAGAAUCGAGUUGAUGAUGGUUUAAAAAUUGUUUCAAAUUGUUUUUCCAAGAAAUAUAUCGAUUGUUGUAUAAAAUUGUUAUACAUCAAAGUUUUUAUUAUUAUAAAUUCUUCGUGACACGAAUAAGUAUAGUAAUCGAGUUGUAAAUGUAGUUAAGUAAAUUUAACGAUAAUUCUGGAAAAAAAAAAAAAUAUCAAGAAAUUCAACAUCAAUGUUUUAAAAUUGCCUGUAUUAUUAAACGAAUCGCAAACAUUCAUUACAAAACACUUAUGAAAAUUGACGUCAUUGUGAUAAUCGAUUCACGGUUGGAGAGAUUGUGGCAAUUUUGCAAGUGCGUCAAACGUGAAACCUUGGUCAAAUUUGCCGUCACGGCAUAUCAUAUCUUCUGACAUGUUGACAUAUCGAAGGUGAAAGAAAAACUUGUGAAUACGAGGAUCGAAUUAUAUAUAUAUAUAGAAAGCGAAAGCUUUUUCGUAUCGGGAAUAAAUGAGAAACGAUCCUUUUCCUCUCAACCCAACCCAUUCCAUUCUAUUUUCUAACGAAACUUUCCUUUCUUUUGAACAGAUCUAACAACAAGAUCCACGAUGGAUAAAGAUCGACGAGAUUUUCUUUCUUUUUUUUUUUUUUUUUUCAAUUUCGGCGACGCAUCCUCGACGCAUCAAGAGAUCGUGCGAUCCUCGACGAUAGAUGUAAAUCUAUCCAGGUAUCAUUCCUCGUCCACGACCGUUUGAAUCUCAUUAACACGGUGAAUGUGAAGGUUAUUAGCGAAGGUUUCCACCAAUCUCCGCCAAGUUGUGCGACAAUCGCGUUAUGUAAUCGACAGCUGGGUGAUUAAUGGGUGAAUUUGUUGUGUCGGAUCGAUUGCACGAUCGUCGAAUUAAAUGUCAAACCGAGCUCGGACAGAAGUGGUUGAUUUCUCUCCGAUCCUCGAUUUCGCAAUUGGCGCAUCGCGCUCAACUUUGCACAGAUUCGAUCUUGUUUGACGUGACAAUUGGAAAAUUUCCAUUCUUCUCCGUUGAUUAUUUGAGAUAAUAACGAAUAAUAACGAUUCUUCCUACGGGAAGGGAAGAGGAGGAAAGAAAAAAAAGAACGUCACGAGCAAUUUAAGAAUCUGUUCAACGUUAUACGUUGGAUGGAAAAUGCACGAGGAAUAUGGAAUAAUCUGUAUCAUUUCGCACGCGAGUGUUGGAAGAUAAAUAGAUGUAUCCGCGGUGAUUGUGCACACGUUCUUGAACCGCGAUUUCGUGGCUGUCGCGAUUAAAAUGCGCUGGAUUGGCCUGCGCAUGCAUAUACAUGAGACACAUAACAGGUCGGUUGAAUUACACGGAGAAUUGACGCACGUUCCCGGUUUAAAACAAACGGCAUGACAAUGGGCGAGAAACGCGAGGAACACGGGGAGAGGCUCGUGGAAAUUUUCGAGAGUGUUGCAUUUGAGCCAUAAUACGUAAUCGUACAACGUUUUGGAGGACGAUCGAAUUUUUCCCUAUCUAAAUUCGUUAAUUUAAUUUAAAAUGGAUCGAUUUUCGACGAUUUUCUAAAGAUGGAAGAUGCUAAUUUUUGAUAUUUGGUUAAUCGAGCGAUAAAUUUAAUAUUGAAGAUUGGCCGAGAAAGGGUUUCCAUUUCAUAUAUCUUGUAUAACGUUGCUUUGUUUCCAAGUGGCAUAUAGUAUUAAGUAAUCUCAGCAAUUUUCUUGCAACUCCUGCCUUUUAACAAUUUAGAAUUAUCGUCAAAAUUGGCAAUUUAAUAAAACAGAGAGAUUCUUUCCAUAUUUUUCUAUAUUUUUUUCCAUAUAGUGUCCAAUUCUCUUCUGAAAAAUCUACGUAACGGAGGAAUCAUACGAUUGCAAAAUUGCCUUUCACGCAUAUCGUAUUUCUCAUAUAUUUUCGAAACACGAAAGUCAUCAAAUAUAUAUAAAAAUACCGUCAUCGCGACUCGGUAAAUAUGAUACGAUUGAAAGAAGGAUGAUUGGAAAAAAAUAUUUUCUCGUGUACGAAUUUGGAUUGAAGAAUAACACGAAAAAUAUUGAGAAUCAUACCGAAUUAUUUCGAUCGCCCUAUUGUAAUAUUGGGCAGAGAUGAGAAGAAAUUAAUACGUCCAACCUCGACGCAUCAACGGCCGCGUAUCGCUGCGCAUAUGAGCUCGUACGUACGCACAGGUUGCAUCACGGAACACGUGGAACGUUGUUAUCAUCAUUUUCUCACGGCGCGUACGCGCUCGAUCCGUUAUCGAGCGUUGGCUGGCGCCUUUUAUGCGAGCCGAAGAGGAUGAAGCGACACAUUUUCGCGGCGAAACACGCGAAUACCGUUGCUCUGUUAUCGUUGGAUCGUGCCGAUGGCCAUGUCUUCGACCUUCCUCCGAUUGAUUACCUUUUUUUGUAUGGAAAUAUUAACCUCUCGAGGAAGCGAUUUAAUUUAAACAAGAAAUUUUCCAUGUGGAUUUAAUUUUCCUUUCUUCUUCUUCUUCUUCUUCUUCCUCCUCCUCUUUUUUUCUUUAUGUAGAAAUAGAGAACGGGAGAAAUAAAAAUUAGAAUUAGAAAUUAUUGGACGGGUUGUUAUCGAUAUACAUUACUUAAAUGCAAAUUGGCAACGGGUAUUUGCAUUGUAGUCGAGUAAUGUCUUGCUUCUAAUUUAAUGCAAAUACGGUAAACGCGACUCUUUGGCAUAUAUUAUUUCAAAUCAAUUAGUGAUACAAGUGAUUAAAUUUGCAAAUUCAGAGACUAAAGAUUAAAGGUUAUGCGAUACGAAUUCAGUAGCUCUAUUCGGGUUAUCUCAUCGUGCUCGAGGAUAAUGGGAAGGCCUCUAUCAACUUCGAGUUUAACGAGGAGGCUCUUAAACGUGGUUCUUCUUAUCGGCUCGACGAUGAAAAGGCUACGACAGAAAUUGGUCUGUUUCACAAUCGGUUGUACGACGUUUUAAACUACAAUUUUCACGUAUCUAUCGAGUAUUGUUCCUCGUAUCGAGUUUACAUAAUUUAGAAUCAAGAAAAACACUAGGAAUUAUGUUUGUUACAUUAUUGCUAAAUUACUGUUGAAGAAUUGAAGAAGGGGCAACGAGUGAACAAUGGAAAUAUGAAACUAAAUGAUUGACAAGCCCGUAAUGAGAAUUUAUUGCAAUCUACUUUCCAGUAAUCAUCAAGCUAUUAUUAAUCGUACGACUAUCGAUAGAUCAACUACUUAUGAUUAUUAAAAUUGAAAAAUAUGAGAAUUCAAUUUCUGAAGAAACAAAAACGAGGAUUGAUAUUUAACCGUUCAUUUUCUAAAAUAAUCCAACCCCUGCUAUGAAAAAAAUAUUCAUAUUCGAACAAGAAAAAUAAUUUUUCGUUGUUUUAACAGGAUUGCAAGGAUGAACAGAUUUCGUAUUUACGAUCUUGGCUAAUCUUAAGAAUCAUCGUUUUAUCGUAUCUCGUGAGUUUUCAAGGAAAUGGUCGAUUUCUUGGAUGGACAAGGACAACUCUGAGGGAUGGGAAAAUUCGCUGGGAUAAUCCUGGGCAGAGUGAGAAACGAGAGAAAAAAAAAAUACUGAGAAAAAAGAGAUUGUCGAAAGAAAGCAGACAGUUUCGAGAAAAAGAAGGCAGCCCUGUUUUCUAAUCUAUUGACACAAAGGAUCAACUAAUGGCGGAACCUUCCUAGAAAGGUCGAGCCAUUUGGAAAAUUUCGAGUUUUCCAGAAACAAAUCUACCUAGUCUUGCACAACGACAAGAAGUUGUAAAUUAACGACUGGGAAAGAAUAGUUUGUAACUUGGAACUUUUCUUGUUCAAAGAAAAUUCCUGCUCUUGACUCGAGGUUUCUCCCAUCGAUGAAGCCGUCCGGAUCCCCUUCGAUCCCUGCGCAACAUCUGCUCUGAUCAUGAACGCAUAAAGGCAAGAAACCGUGAGAAAGCACCGAAUCGAGGGGCAAUUAAGAGAUCGGCGAUCGAUCGAGGGAUCCACCGUUUCCCGGAAACCGCCGCAGGAAAACGGUUGUUGGGAAAGGAACCGUUCUCGGGUUCGGGGGCUUACGCGCUUGGAAGUCGCUUUUGGAGGUGAAAAUUGUGAUACAAGAUGUUACAAAAAAAUGGUAGAUAAUAAAAAAAAUAUUCGUGAUAAUUUUGUUACAGAAUGAAUAUUUUGAGACGAGUAUAAAUCUCUAUUUUUCUUGUUUUAUUCUCCAAAGUAAUAAUAUUGGGAACUGCUAAAAAAUAAAAUCGUUGUCUUAUUGAAAUUA